UACGUAGGGAGCAAGCGUUGUUCGGAAUCACUGGGCGUAAAGGGCGUGUAGGCGGUCAGGUAAGUGGGACGUGAAAUCCCUCGGCUCACCCGAGGACCUGCGUCCCAAACUGCUUGACUUGAGUAUGGGAGAGGAUGAGGGAAUUCCUGGUGUAGCGGUGAAAUGCGUAGAUAUCAGGAGGAACACCGGUGGCGAAGGCGCUCAUCUGGCCCAAUACUGACGCUGAGGCGCGAAAGCUAGGGGAGCAAACGGG
RNAcentral lists this ribosomal RNA (253 nucleotides) under uncultured bacterium. RNAcentral's name for it is "partial 16S ribosomal RNA". It matches the Rfam family "Bacterial small subunit ribosomal RNA", at positions 524 to 776 of the family's 1533-position model. The record is from RNAcentral.